GACGAACGCUGGCGGCGUGCUUAACACAUGCAAGUCGACCGGAAAGUGCGUGUUUUAAUUGAGAUUUGGGGGGCCGACGGGUGAGUAACGCGUAGAGAACCUUCCUCACAGCUCGGGACAACAUUUGGAAACCAAUGGUAAUACCUGCUAUUAUGCUUAUGAUGCAUCUUGGGGUUAUGAAAGCUAUAUGCGCUGUGGGAGAGCUUGGCGUUCCAUUAGCUGGUUGUGGAGGUGACGGCUCACCAGGGCGAUGCUGGGUAGCCGGCCUGGAAGGGUGAACGGCCACAAGGGGACUGAGACACGGCCCUUACCCCUACGGGAGGCAGCAGUGGGGAAGAUGGGACAAUGGACCAAGAGUCUGAUACAGAAGUUGUGUGUGGACGAUGACGUUUUUCGGAAUGUAAAGUGCUUUCAGUUGGGAAGAAAAAAAUGACGGUACUGGCAGAAGAAGCGACGGCUAAAUACGUG
RNAcentral lists this ribosomal RNA (468 nucleotides) under uncultured bacterium. RNAcentral's name for it is "partial 16S ribosomal RNA". It matches the Rfam family "Bacterial small subunit ribosomal RNA", at positions 28 to 507 of the family's 1533-position model. The record is from RNAcentral.